Molecule: ribosomal RNA, 253 nt
Filed under: uncultured bacterium
Lineage: Bacteria
Description: partial 16S ribosomal RNA
Rfam family: Bacterial small subunit ribosomal RNA
Source: RNAcentral
CACGUAGGGCGCAAGCGUUGUCCGGGAUUAUUGGGCGUAAAGAGCUCGUAGGCGGUCUGUUGCGUCCGCUGUGAAAACUCGGGGCUUAACCCCGAGCCUGCAGUGGAUACGGGCAGACUAGAGGUAGGUAGGGGAGAAUGGAAUUCCCGGUGUAGCGGUGAAAUGCGCAGAUAUCAGGAAGAACACCAAUGGCGAAGGCAGCUCUCUGGGACGGUACUGACGCUGAGACGCGAAAGCGUGGGGAGCGAACAGG